RNAcentral lists this ribosomal RNA (318 nucleotides) under uncultured Bacillus sp. RNAcentral describes it as "bacterial SSU rRNA". It matches the Rfam family "Bacterial small subunit ribosomal RNA", at positions 55 to 361 of the family's 1533-position model. The record is from RNAcentral. Lineage: Bacteria; Bacillati; Bacillota; Bacilli; Caryophanales; Bacillaceae.
AUGCAAGUCGAGCGAAUGGAUUAAGAGCUUGCUCUUAUGAAGUUAGCGGCGGACGGGUGAGUAACACGUGGGUAACCUGCCCAUAAGACUGGGAUAACUCCGGGAAACCGGGGCUAAUACCGGAUAACAUUUUGAACUGCAUGGUUCGAAAUUGAAAGGCGGCUUCGGCUGUCACUUAUGGAUGGACCCGCGUCGCAUUAGCUAGUUGGUGAGGUAACGGCUCACCAAGGCAACGAUGCGUAGCCGACCUGAGAGGGUGAUCGGCCACACUGGGACUGAGACACGGCCCAGACUCCUACGGGAGGCAGCAGUAGGGAA